UGCAACUCCCUCAGUCCCCCCACUUCACAGGUGGCAAACUCUCCAGGCAGUCGAGUGCAAAUCGUCUCAACCCACAGGACAAGAGUGAGACCCGCCCAACCUCUUCCCCAGUGGGGCCAGCUCCCAAACCAGCGGCCGGUCCAAGGAAGGCAGAGGCCCACAAAGACCUAGCAACGAUUUCACUGUAACGCACCUGAUUCCUGUUGUUCAAACUAUCCCUGUUGCGUCUCUACUGACCUCUUAGGUUACCUGUCG
Oncorhynchus tshawytscha (Chinook salmon) is the source of this 255-nucleotide long non-coding RNA. Lineage: Eukaryota; Metazoa; Chordata; Actinopteri; Salmoniformes; Salmonidae. The record is from Ensembl.